RNAcentral lists this ribosomal RNA (197 nucleotides) under uncultured bacterium. RNAcentral's name for it is "partial 16S ribosomal RNA". It matches the Rfam family "Bacterial small subunit ribosomal RNA", at positions 328 to 539 of the family's 1533-position model. The record is from RNAcentral.
ACGCUCGACACCUACGGAGGCAGCAGUGGGGAAUAUUGCACAAUGGGGGAAACCCUGAUGCAGCGACGCCGCGUGAGUGAAGAAGUAUUUCGGUAUGUAAAGCUCUAUCAGCAGGGAAGAGAAUGACGGUACCUGACUAAGAAGCCCCGGCUAACUACGUGCAAGCAGCCGCGGUAAUCUGAGCGGGCUGGCAAGGC